This is a long non-coding RNA of Zalophus californianus (California sea lion), 1079 nucleotides long. RefSeq lists it as uncharacterized. The record is from RefSeq and is a predicted model, not a curated record. Lineage: Eukaryota; Metazoa; Chordata; Mammalia; Carnivora; Otariidae. The transcript is spliced from 3 exons.
UUGGGGGGGGCGGGGGGGUCCCGGCCUUCCAGAAGCCCGCGCAGGUGCUGCGGGGCCGCGCUAGCCCCUGCCGCCCCCGCUCGCCGGUGGGGACCCGGGGGAAGCCGCCGCCCGCCCCCGCCCGUGUGUGGCCGCGCUUUUGUUUGAGAGGCGGCCUGACCGUCGCUCGCGCGCUGUGGCCAAGCUCCGGCCGUGUGCGCGUGCGCGGUGCCGGCGCCCCUGCUGGCCGGGCGGCCUGCUGCAGAGCUGCGUGCGCUGGCCGCGCGGGUGCCUGCCCGCCGGCGUGUGCGACGGGCCCCAGGCCAGGCGCUGCGGGCGGGCCCGCCGCGCCGUGACGCCGGCGUUGCACACGCUCGAGCCAGCCUGGGGCUCCGGGGGCCGGGGCUCCGGGGAGCAGCGGAGCCGUGCGCGGGCGGUCAGGCUUCUCUAAAGGCGAGGUUUCUUCCCCACGGAGUUUGCCUGCUGGAAACCGCGCGCUUGGGAGGGCGUCCCGGGUGAGCUGACACGUUGGUGCUGGAAUGAGUUCGCCCCGAAGUACGACUGUUGUGCAAAUUCAGCCCCUUGUGUGCAGUCUCCUGUGUCGGGGGUACUCGGUCCUUAAUGCACGCGGUCGGGGAAUCUGCCAACAACCUGCCCCCAGAGGCGUUGCAGGUGUGGCUGUUUGUGUCACACUUGUGUCAUUCGGUGGCAGAAAGAAGAGAGGCUUAUCUACGCCCAGUGUUCAGCUGGUGAACGUCUGGAUGAUUAAUAGUCUGACACCCGACCAAGCGCUUUGGGCCUUGCCUGAGGCCACCCUGUGAAAACCCUCCCACUGUCUCCUAGUUCUCGGAUGGUCUCAGAUGGGCAUAUGGCCCUAGGUAGUGGGCCGCUCGAUUUCAGGAACGAGGGCAACGGCUGUUGCCCCGGAGGGACCCAGAACAACUUCCGCCACCAUCCAGACCGAGGUGGAGAGCUCAACACUGGUACAAGCAGGCGAGACCCGGGCUGGCUGCUCGGGGUGACAGACUCACCAAUUUAAGGUUAAAGAGAGUAAGAUGUUUUGCAUUUAUUUUCUGAAGCAUUUGUGCAGAACGUUGGUG